Molecule: long non-coding RNA, 1812 nt
Filed under: Cyanistes caeruleus (blue tit)
Lineage: Eukaryota; Metazoa; Chordata; Aves; Passeriformes; Paridae
Description: lncRNA (ENSCCEG00000006049.1)
Source: RNAcentral
GAAUUUUGGAGGGAAUUUGGGGGGUUUGGGGGGAAUUUGGGGGAUUUUGGGUCUGAUUUUAGGGGUUUUGGAGGGAUUUUGGGGGGAAUUUGGGGAUUUUGGGUCUGAUUUUUGGUUUGAUUUUGGGUCUGAUUUUGGGGAUUUUUUUGGGGGGAAUUUGGGGGGGAUUUUGGGGAUUUUUUGGGGGGAAUUUGGGGAUUUUUUUGGAGGGGAUUUGAGGGAUUUUGGGUCUGAUUUUGGGUAUUUUUUGGGUCUGAUUUUGUGUAUUUUUGGGGGGAUUUUGGGGGAUUUUUUGGGGAUUUUUUGGGUAUUUUUUGGGUCUGAUUUUGGGUAUUUUUGGGGCUCCCCCCCAGACAUCAUCCACAAGUUUAUCCGGGAUAAAUAUUCCAAGAGAUUCCCGGAGCUGGAGUCGCUGGUUCCCAACGCCCUGGAUUACAUCCGCACCGUCAAGGUGGGUGGGGACACCAAAACACCCAAAAACACCCCAAAAACAACCCAGAAACACCCCAAAACACCCCAAAAACACAGAAAAACACCCCAAACCACCCCAAAACACCCAAAAACACCCCAAAAACAACCCAGAAACACCCAGAAACACACAAAAACACCCCAAAAACAACCCAGAAACAUCCAAAAACACCCAGAAACACCCAAAAACACCCCAAAAACACAGAAAAACACCCAGAAACACCCAAAACCACCCCAAAAAAUCCAAAACACCCUAAAAACACCAAAAAACACCCCAGAAACACCCAAAAACACCCCAAAACACCCCAAAAACACCCAAAAUAUCCCAAAAACUGCCCAAAAACACCCAAAACCACCCCAAAACCAUCCAAAAACACUCAAAAACACCCCAAAAACACCCCAAAACACCCCAGAAACACCCCAAAAACACCCCCAAAACACCCCAAAACCACCCCAAAACACCCCAAAAUAUCCCAAAAUGUCCCAAAAACACCCAAAAACCCCUCAAAAACACCCAAAAAACAUCCAAAAAACCCAGAAAACCCCACAAAAACACCCGAAAAACACCCAAAAACACCCCAAAAACAACGAAAACACCCUAAAAACACCCAAAAACACCCAAAACACCCAAAAACACCCAAAACACCCAAAAACACCCCAAAAAACACCCCCAAAACACCCCCAAAACACCCAAAACCACCCCAAAGUACCCCAAAAUAUCCCAAAUCUCAGAAUUUUUUUGGGUCGAAUUUUGGGGUUUUUUUUUUUCCCAAAUUUUUCUGGUUGGAAUUUUGGGGUUUUUUUGAUUCCCAGAUUUUUUUUGGGUGGAAUUUUGGGGUUUUUUUUGAUUCCCAGAUUUUUUUUUGGGUGGAAUUUUGGGGGUUUUUUUUUCCCUUUCCCAGAUUUUUUUUUCCGUUUAUUUUUUUACCCCUCCCUGAUUUUUGUUUUUUGGGUGGAAUUUUGGGGUUUUUCUUUAACUCCCAGAUUUUUUUUGGUGGAAUUUUGGGGUUUUUCUUUAACUCCCAAAUUUUUUUUGGGUUGAAUUUGGGGUUUUUUUGAUUCCCAAUUUUUUUUUUUUUGGUGGAAUUUUGGGGUUUUUUUAACUCCCAGAUUUUUUUGGGUUAAAUUUUGGGGUUUUUUUUAAAUCCCAAAUUUUUUGGGGGUUAAAUUUUGGGGUUUUUUUAAAUCCCAGAUUUUUUUGGGGUCGAAUUUUGGGGUUUUUUUUCCCUUUCCCAGAUUUUUUUCCGUUUAUUUUUUUACCCCUCCCUGAUUUUUGUUUUUUUGGGUGGAAUUUUGGGGUUUUUUUGAUUCCCAAAUUUUUUUUUGAGUUGAAUUUCGGGGUUU